AGAUGCCCGAGCCUCUUAUCUACUCAUGACAAACAUAUCAGUUACACCAUAUGGAAAUACCACAGCGCCAUCACCGCUCAUAUCAUUCACCACAUGGGCAACAACUGGUGCUAGUGCUGGUGCAGGUUUCUUGAUCCUGGCCAUCAUAGUUAUCUGUGUAUUAUGCAAGUCAUCAAAAGUAUCAGUAUUUUGCGGACAUCACUAUACACGAUCUCUCCAAGCUGUUCAAGUAGAACCCAUGGAAAAUGAACAGACUCGUAUGUAGAUACCAGGGUAUACCGGAUAACAGGGGAUAUCAUCAACCACGUUUUAGCCGUGGCAAUCACUGUAAUUGUCCUUGCUGAUUAAGGUGACUGAGAAGAUAUGCGGUGCAUACUUACAACGGAUUGUUUUAUACCGUUUGCAGAAAUGU
Haliotis rufescens (red abalone) is the source of this 412-nucleotide long non-coding RNA. RefSeq lists it as uncharacterized. The transcript has 3 exons. Lineage: Eukaryota; Metazoa; Mollusca; Gastropoda; Lepetellida; Haliotidae. The record is from RefSeq and is a predicted model, not a curated record.